GGAGGAGAGCCCCAGCUCGGCGCGGCCCCGGCCCGAGCAGCACCGGCGGCUGCUCCUCAACUCAUUGGCCUUGCACCGCCCGCCCCGCCGGCUCCCCUCGGGCGCGGAGCGCGGCCCCCGUGCGCAGCUGCCUGACGCUGCAAAAUGGCGGCCGGCCGCCCCGCCGCGCCUGCGCGCCCCGCAGCGGGGGAGGCGGCCGCGGGGCCCCCCGCUGGAUGCCCCCCUGCUCCUGUCCUCGCCGUGCUUGGGGCUUGGGGCGGGGCGUUUGGCCGUGCGGAGAUAAGGCAGAAAAACCUCCUUUGUCUGCUCGCCGCGCCUCCCUCCCCUGCCUCUCAGGCCCUAAUAACCCACUUCCAGUGGCCGCUCUCUGGAGAACCAGUUUAAACCGAUACUCGUGAGCCACGCUGCCCGAGAGCUUGGGAGGCCGUGUUUUGGGAAAAGGCACGGAAAAGCCCACUUAUGUAACAGCUCAGAGCUGGGAAGCAGAGCCGUCCCCGUUUCUUGGUGUGCUCGCCGUUUCAGCCAGCGUUUGCUCAAGUCAGAG
This 544-nucleotide long non-coding RNA is filed under the name Anser brachyrhynchus (Pink-footed goose). RNAcentral describes it as "lncRNA (ENSABRG00000003730.1)". The record is from RNAcentral. Lineage: Eukaryota; Metazoa; Chordata; Aves; Anseriformes; Anatidae.